GUUAGGCAUAAGGCUAGCAGUGUGGUUAAGGUUAGGGUGAGGCAUAAGGCUAGCAGUGUGGUUAAGGUUAGGGUGAGGCAUAAGGCUAGCAGUGUGGUUAAGGUUAGGGUGAGGCAUAAGGCUAGCAGUGUGGUUAAGGUUAGGGUGAGGCAUAAGGCUAGCAGUGUGGUUAAGGUUAGGGUUAGGCAUAACGUUAGCAGUGUGGUUAAGGUUAGGGUUAGGCAUAAGGCUAGCAGUGUGGUUAAGGUUAGGGUGAGGCAUAAGGCCAGCAGUGUGGUUAAGGUUAGGCAUAAGGCUAGCAGUGUGGUUAAGGUUAGGGUGAGGCAUAAGGGUAGCAGUGUGGUUAAGGUUAGGGUGAGGCAUG
Long non-coding RNA from Oncorhynchus tshawytscha (Chinook salmon), 364 nucleotides. NCBI's taxonomy places the organism in Eukaryota, Metazoa, Chordata, Actinopteri, Salmoniformes, Salmonidae. The record is from Ensembl.